AUGGCGCCUUCCAGUAUCCUGGGAGGCAUGCCUGUCCGAGCGUCGUUUCAACCCUCGAGCCCCCGUGGCCCGGCGUUGGGGAUCUGCCACGGCAGGCCCCUAAAACCAGUGGCGGACCCGAAGGCCCUCUCCUUUGCGCAGUAG
RNAcentral lists this ribosomal RNA (144 nucleotides) under Plectosphaerella cucumerina. RNAcentral describes it as "5.8S ribosomal RNA". The record is from RNAcentral. Lineage: Eukaryota; Fungi; Ascomycota; Sordariomycetes; Glomerellales; Plectosphaerellaceae.